Molecule: ribosomal RNA, 253 nt
Filed under: uncultured bacterium
Lineage: Bacteria
Description: partial 16S ribosomal RNA
Rfam family: Bacterial small subunit ribosomal RNA
Source: RNAcentral
UACAGAGGGGGCAAGCGUUGUUCGGAAUUACUGGGCGUAAAGGGCGCGUAGGCGGCCUUCUAAGUCGAACGUGAAAUCCCCGGGCUCAACCCGGGAACUGCGUCCGAUACUGGAAGGCUUGAAUCCGGGAGAGGGAUGCGGAAUUCCAGGUGUAGCGGUGAAAUGCGUAGAUAUCUGGAGGAACACCGGUGGCGAAGGCGGCAUCCUGGACCGGUAUUGACGCUGAGGCGCGAAAGCCAUGGGAGCAAACGGG